This 581-nucleotide ribosomal RNA is filed under the name Streptomyces candidus. RNAcentral describes it as "bacterial SSU rRNA". It matches the Rfam family "Bacterial small subunit ribosomal RNA", at positions 93 to 688 of the family's 1533-position model. The record is from RNAcentral. Lineage: Bacteria; Bacillati; Actinomycetota; Actinomycetes; Kitasatosporales; Streptomycetaceae.
UAGUGGCGAACGGGUGAGUAACACGUGGGCAAUCUGCCCUUCACUCUGGGACAAGCCCUGGAAACGGGGUCUAAUACCGGAUAACACUCCUGCCUGCAUGGGCGGGGGUUAAAAGCUCCGGCGGUGAAGGAUGAGCCCGCGGCCUAUCAGCUAGUUGGUGGGGUAAUGGCCUACCAAGGCGACGACGGGUAGCCGGCCUGAGAGGGCGACCGGCCACACUGGGACUGAGACACGGCCCAGACUCCUACGGGAGGCAGCAGUGGGGAAUAUUGCACAAUGGGCGAAAGCCUGAUGCAGCGACGCCGCGUGAGGGAUGAAUGCCUUCGGGUUGUAAACCUCUUUCAGCAGGGAAGAAGCGCAAGUGACGGUACCUGCAGAAGAAGCACCGGCUAACUACGUGCCAGCAGCCGCGGUAAUACGUAGGGUGCGAGCGUUGUCCGGAAUUAUUGGGCGUAAAGAGCUCGUAGGCGGCUUGUCGCGUCGGAUGUGAAAGCCCGGGGCUUAACCCCGGGUCUGCAUUCGAUACGGGCAGGCUAGAGUGUGGUAGGGGAGAUCGGAAUUCCUGGUGUAGCGGUGAAAUG